AGCCACAUCAUGUUGAAACACCAGUUCCCAUACAAUCACCAAAUUUAAGCAACAUUGAGGUUAGUCAGUACCUAGAUGGGUGACCUCUUGGGAAUAUCAAGUGCUGUAAG
Non-coding RNA from Acanthosepion pharaonis, 110 nucleotides. The record is from the annotation of a GenBank genome assembly. Lineage: Eukaryota; Metazoa; Mollusca; Cephalopoda; Sepiida; Sepiidae.